Triticum aestivum (bread wheat) is the source of this 5973-nucleotide RNA transcript. RefSeq lists it as uncharacterized. The transcript is spliced from 7 exons. The record is from RefSeq and is a predicted model, not a curated record. Lineage: Eukaryota; Viridiplantae; Streptophyta; Magnoliopsida; Poales; Poaceae.
CAUCGUUCUUGUGCAUCCUGUGUGCGUACUGGUUGAGAGAAGGGAGAGAAGUGGGGGUGAAUCGAGCUGCGAGGCGAAAACCUAGCGCCAGCAAUCCCGUGCGUCUUCGAGGAGCCAAUCCAGCCCCGCUUCCCUCCCUCUCCACGGCGCUGCCGGCUCCUCCCCUUUUGCCCUACUCUCCACUGCGCCGCCUCUUCCUCCUCUUCACUAUCCUCUCCAGCGGCGGCAAAGAUCUGCCGACAAAGGGAGAUGACAGCGGCGCUCAAUCGGAUCUGCUGAAGAGAAAGAUGAGAGGGAGAGAGACAAGGAAGGAGAGGAGGGAGAAAGAGAGAGCUAAGCAGAGAGGGAGGUGUGAUGGCGGAUGAGAGAAGGUCACCGGAAGGAGCGCGAUGACCUGCAGACAAAGGGCGGCAGCGGCGCCGCUCGAUUUGAUCUGCGGGAGAGAGAAGAUGAGAGGGAGGAAGAGAAGGAAGAACAUGAGAGGAGGGAGAAAGAGAGAGGAAAGAGGAGAGGGGGUCGACGGCCAACGGGAGAGGAUCACUGCAAGUGCUGCCGGCUCGUCGUCUUUCACACCGCACUAUAGCAGAGCUACCUUUGUACAACCCACACGCAUGCAGUUGCCGGCUGCAGGGGUGUUGCGAGGAGUUAGAGGUCGUGCACCGGCCGGAGCAGCAAGAGCAAUGAUCUGGCGGCCUCUCUUCUCUGCCACUGCUCCCUUCUCUUCCUUCAGCUCUCGAGACGUCAACCUGCAGGUGUAGGCUAGAGUUUGUCUGUGGGUUGUUUAUGCCCGGCUUUAAUAUCGGCCCACACUAUUUAUAAGGAACUGCUGAUGUCCAGUUCAGAGGUAUGUUUUCUAGCUGAAGCAUUGUUUGAAUAUCUAUGGCCCAUGCUCCAAGUGAGAUUAAUUCUUUCAUUUAUUUUCUACUAAUGUGAGUGAUUUAGUUCUCACGUACUGAUAAAUGUGCAUGGCAUACUAUUUUUAGGCAAACCAUUGUUUAACAAUGGAUAUGCGGAGGGUUUUUUAUGCAUGUGCAUUUCCCCUGAAUCUAGACAGCUAUUCAACCUAUUGCGGACAUUUUUGGUGGAAUUCAAUGCUUCGUCAUGUAUUUUUGACCUCUAUAUUCCCUAUCAUGUGUAUUUAACAAGUGAAUGUUCAGUGAUUCUCGAUUUUGCCUUUUUAAUCUAUGAAUGCAAUCCUUAAUGUGAUGGAAAUGUAUUGUACAUUUUUUGUCGAGCAAAUAUUGAUUCAUGCCAUGCAUGUUAUCGGUGGGUUUAAAAAAAGUUUUCCUGAUUGUAGUGUGAUUGCUUUAUCAAAGUUGGUUUAGUUACCCAACCUUCUAUUUUCAUUGAUUUUGUAUGAUUCUUGAAAACGGAGUGUGGGUUGUGUUUAUCAAUAAUAUACUACAGAUGUCAGUUCUGUUGCCAAAUGAUCUAAACUUGAUUUACCCACUUAUAGAACAGAAAAGAGUAUGGUAUUUACCUUCCGUGGAUUUACUUGAAUGACUGUACAAGUAUCUCGGCUUGGUUUAUUUCCCAUCUCCAAUUUGAUUAAUAAUUACUAAGAUAUUUUUUCUUACUCCUUAUUUACUGACAUGUUUGAUUUGUAGUCUCCUCGUAUAUAAUCAAGUAGUGGUAGCUAAACAAACGUAUAUCUUGCCAUGCAUUGGUGAAAGUAUUAAAGCUUGUCUCUGGUUUACUUUCCAUGUGCUAUCCAUACCCAUGUUUUAUGUAGUUAAUUAAUAAACUCUCUCUAAAUAUGAUGAUCACAUGAGAUCAGACAGGUUCAUGGGGUGAUCGUGUAGCCGAGUUGAAAGUCAGAGGGUUUGUGCUAUGGGUCAUAGGAAUGGUCAUAACCUUAUUUGUUGGAAUAUUGCCUAAGAUGAUCAAAGCUAAUUAUUUUAGUCACUUGAUCUGUUAUAUUGCCAUAAACUGAAUUGGUACUAGGCGAACAUGAGGAUCUUUUAGCAGGUAGCCAUGUAAAAAACAAGAUAUAUGUCUAACAUAUAAUUUGAGAUGAAGUUGUCCUGCUCAAUUAAUUUAUAGUUUUCUGGAUGUUCUGGUUUUCAGUUUGGGAGCAAGUAGAAAUACCUGAUUUGAUGCUUAUUCUUUAGAAUUUUUCACAUUUCGCGAGAGCUAGGCAUACUUCUCGGUGACCUUGUCAUCUCCAACCCAUCUGUGGGUAUUUCAACUCCCCUUCUGUUUUUCAUUUUUCUGUGUACAUUUGCUCUACUCUCACUUUUAAUAUCGCUGGUAUUCUAUCAUUUUCUUAAUGCUUUAGUUUUGCUUGUUCUAUCUCCUCCCAUGUGCUAUUUAGAGUUCUUUUCUCUGUUUUUAAUUGCGGUUUUACAUCCUAUUCUAUUUGAGCUUUUUGGCUACGACAUAAUGAAUGGAUUAUUUCUUUAUUUGGCCUUUAUUAUAUUGUUUCCCAUCUACAAUAUGAAUCACUUUGCUAGCUAUAAAAAAACAUUAUGGGUUACUGCCUAGUGGACCUCUGAAUAUUUUUUCACCUCAGCUUGAUUGACAUGCUCACCGGCAGGAAAUGUAGUAUGAGAUGAUUUUCUUAAAUUUCUCUAGCUUUUCUUAUUGGUAUGUGCAUAAAGGACAAAGUCUUGUAUACUUAAUAUCAAGCCUUAUUAAUCUGCAUUUUUGGAAUACCAUUAAAAAUCUUGAAUUAGUUUUGCUUUGAUGGGUAAUCUAUCACUAAACAGAAUAUACCUUCCAGCCUUCACACAUAGAGACUAAUUUAGUACUUGGGUUGGGCUGCCCUAUUUUUCUGUGUGGUCGAAUAGGAAAGCUAAAUGUACAAUUUAUUUGCUCUACACCAUUUAUUGUGCCACAUUGAAGUACAUCUUUUUAUUAUUUCUUUCUAAUGCAAUCAUCAAUACCAUACAUUCAUUAAUCUUCCCAUUUUUUGUUCUCUUUUUGGUCAUACAUUUGGAUUAUUAUGGAUUUUCUGAAGGUGGUGGUGGGGGUUGCACGACAUGUUCUAUCUGGUUUCAGGAGUGUGUGCUGCUCCUGAAUUUUUUUCUCAGGCUUCGGAAGAUGCCAGUAUAACAGUUGACAAGGGAACUAAUGCUUGCACUGUCAUUAAAAUUGCUAGAGCUGCUGCGCAAAAAGUUAGGAAGGUACUUAAAGAGAAGGAAGACAAUUCACAAAGAAUUGGGAAACAGUUUUGUCAGCAAACACAUCGAGGCAUCUGAACAAAUUGUCACAACUACAUGAAGACAGGGACCUGCAAAUUUGGAUCCACAGGGGCGCAACGGGUCAUAAUCUGUCGCAGAUAAGAUAUGUUGCAGAUCACCUUAACGAUGCAACUUGACAAUUAGAGCACAUUCUACAGGAAACAAGCAGGUAUUAUAUGGGGUCAUUUAUGCUUUUGGUAGCCCACUAGACACACCCACCAUGAAGAGCUUCUUUGACAAUAAAGUCGUUUUUUAUACCGAUGGCGCAGUGAGACUCUACCUGAUAUUCUUCACUACUCACCACGAGCUAAAUGAUCGAAGCUAUCAAUAUAUAUAAUGCAUUUCUACGUAUGUAGCAUGCUUGAUACAUGCAAUGUAAAUAAGCUAUCGUAAACUAAUCGCAUGUCUUUCUUAUAACGCUGUGUAUCAACUUCAUACAUAAAUAUCUAUUUCCAUAUUGUAACAUCCCGAUUCUCGGAAUGUUUAAGUAAAAGUUUUCCAAAAAUCAGGGUGAGAAAAUUUCACUUGUUUAAUUUGUUAACAAAGCUUAAAUUGGACUUCUAUAAUUUGAAGGAUUUAAUUUGAACUAACGUGAACCUAAAUUAAAAUUUGAGUUUAGUUCUUUUCUUUUAGUCGGGCUUUAUUUUCUCUUCUUUGGCAUAUUUAAAUAUGUGCCUUGAAUUUUCUUUGGGUUACUGAAAUUCGUUUGAUUGCUCGAGCUUAUUUUCCUUCUCUAGAUUUCCUAAAACGGAAAUCAAUUUCUUUUCCUUUUCUCAAUCUCGGGCCAAAUUCCAUUGGACCAUUAGAUACAUUCUACCAUUUGAAUUGUCCACCUAUCUUACUCAUACUUUCCAUCCAUGCAUACAUUGUUUCUGAGACAAAUCCACCAAUACAUGCAUCUGUACAUCUCUCUUCUCUUCCCUGGAUUCAUCCAAUUGUUUUUGUUUUCUUUCUCAAGUCACAUGGGCUUAGCCCAUCUAUUUUUUUUCCUCCCCUCCUCUCCACAUGGGCUUCCAUCCACUUGGCCCAUCCAAUGAAUGCCUCUCCUUACGUUCACAAUUCCAGAAGGGGAACAACCAACACACACAUACCAGAAGAGAAAACGCACACAGAAUAGGAAGCGUACAGGCAUGAUGGAGACUCCUCUUUCUGUUUAAUUGCUACCUUUACAAAUAUGAAGAUACUUGCCCAUCUUUCAACGUCAACCCCAAGCGCUUCUCCUUCCUCCACCCUCGCGUAAGCGCACACAGUACAGAGAAGAAGAAACGUUCAGCCACUCUCAUGCCCUCCCCUCAACUCCCAUAAAUCUCAAUCAUUUUCAGUUUUGAAGAUACCUAGACGUCCACCACGAUCUCCUUUGUCAUUCCCAACAGUCCUCAUGCCCUCUCUCUUCCUCCUCUGCCAAAGAACCCUCACCACACUUUUGAAGCUCCAUGGACGCAAGGUUUCGAUCCCGGUGACUCAUACCAUCUCCAUCCAUGCCCUUGCGCCAGAAGGUUCCCCUGCACAUUAUGGUUCCAUUCAGGAAAGAAGGAACAUGUCCCGUCGAUCACACCCGAAGAAUUUAGCAUGUUCGUCUACACUGUUCAUCGAGUUCGUCGGAUCGAUUCGUCGCGCUCGGGAGUGACGACGGUGUUGGACAUGGACAGAAACAGGUUACCGAAGGACUCAACAAUGAAGGCAUGCCUCCUUCUUUGAUCAUAUUUAUCCUAUGUUUACAAAAUUGCAUUGUGUUUUAUGGUUACUAUAUGCAUGCUAUUUUUUAAUUCUUGUAGCUAGCGUGUCGAUUGACACAUUACCUUGAUCCGCUUGUCGCCUAUUCAUUUGACACCUGAGUAGAAUUAUAGUAUUCCGGUAGAGUAGAAAUGCUUAGCCAUGCUUAUCCUAUAGGUUCUUUGUUGAAUGACCUCUAAGUCAUUGACAGUUGAAACGUAUUGCUGAGCUAGGCCAGUUGGCCCUUGUUGAUCUCCUCUACUCUCUUCUACUCUGGGUGAAACUUACCAUUUAAAUAUUGGUGCGGGCGACAGCUGAAUCAAGGAUUGAAGGAGCGAUUGGCUACCCUUCACGAUUUGAAGGGGGCAAUCAGACGUUCGUGCCGCAUGAGGCCUAAUAAGUCUUGGAUUUGAAGAUUGUGAUAAUAGUACAACCACAUGCUAUAUGGGCACUGGCUUGGUUAAUUAGUUAGUUCACUCUUAUUGUCGUCAUCACCGUACCGCAGAUGGGAUAGCUGCCUUGCGAGGAGUAUCCUCGGCACAAAAGGGGGGCCCGGACUGUGAACUGCGGUUACUUCCAUGUUGAAACCUAGUGGGCUUGGCACAGUAAGUUUGGUCUAAUGAAAGAUCUCGUCACAAUCUCUCUGCCGGUAUACCAAAUGGUGUACUAUGCUAGUGACGGCUAAUGGCAACAAGUCGGGAUUGUGUCGUGUGGGUAAAGUGUACAACCUCUGCAGAGUGUAAAACUAUUCGAAUAGCCGUGUCUACGGUCAUGGGCAACACAUGAAUCUUUCUUGACGUACGGGACCUGUCUUACUUAUUCCCUCUUUGCCCCUAUUCUUGAAACCUAUGAAGGACAUGAGUUGAUCGAGGAUCCUCACUUGAUGAAAGUUAUUCUGGAGAUAAAACAUGUUUUUCUUCUAAAACUUCUUUUAUCCAACUCAUUUAUUUGUCAAACAAAAUUAGCUUUACGCAAAUGAGCCAUAUAGCCUUCCUUUGAAGCCACAUGUAGCUAUUAGGUCCUUCCCCGUGGGGGGCAUGUUGAGUACGAAAUGUACUCAUGGCAAUACUUUUGUUGA